UCAGCGGCGGAACGGGUUGAGUAACACGUUGGGUAACCUUGCCUGUAAGACUGGGAUAACUUCCGGGAAACCGGGGCUAAUACCGGAUAUUUCUUUUUCCUCGCAUGAGGAAAAGUGGAAAGGUGGCUUUUAGCUACCACUUACAGAUGGACCCGCGGCGCAUUAGCUAGUUGGUGAGGUAAUGGCUCACCAAGGCGACGAUGCGUAGCCGACCUGAGAGGGUGAUCGGCCACACUGGGACUGAGACACGGCCCAGACUCCUACGGGAGGCAGCAGUAGGGAAUCUUCCGCAAUGGACGAAAGUCUGACGGAGCAACGCCGCGUGAGUGAUGAAGGUUUUCGGAUCGUAAAGCUCUGUUGUUAGGGAAGAACAAGUGCCGUUCGAACAGGGCGGCACCUUGACGGUACCUAACCAGAAAGCCACGGCUAACUACGUGCCAGCAGCCGCGGUAAUACGUAGUGGCAAGCGUUGUCCGGAAUUAUUGGGCGUAAAGCGCGCGCAGGCGGUCUCUUAAGUCUGAUGUGAAAGCCCACGGCUCACCCGUGGAGGGUCAUUGGAAACUGGGGGACUUGAGUACAGAAGAGGAAAGU
Molecule: ribosomal RNA, 591 nt
Filed under: Bacillus sp. (in: firmicutes)
Lineage: Bacteria; Bacillati; Bacillota; Bacilli; Caryophanales; Bacillaceae
Description: bacterial SSU rRNA
Rfam family: Bacterial small subunit ribosomal RNA
Source: RNAcentral